UGCCAGACUCCUACGGGAGGCAGCAGUGGGGAAUAUUGCACAAUGGGGGAAACCCCGAUGCAGCGACGCCGCGUGAGCGAUGAAGUAUUUCGGUAUGUAAAGCUCUAUCAGCAGGGAAGAAAAUGACGGUACCUGACUAAGAAGCCCCGGCUAACUACGUGCCAGCAGCCGCGGUAAUACGUAGGGGGCAAGCGUUAUCCGGAUUUACUGGGUGUAAAGGGAGCGUAGACGGUUGUGCAAGUCAGAAGUGAAAGCCCGGGGCUCAACUCCGGGACUGCUUUUGAAACUGUGAAACUGGAGUGCAGGAGAGGUAAGCGGAAUUCCUGGUGUAGCGGUGAAAUGCGUAGAUAUCAGGAGGAACACCAGUGGCGAAGGCGGCUUACUGGACUGUAACUGACGUUGAGGCUCGAAAGCGUGGGGAGCAAACAGGAUUAGAUACCCCAGUACUA
Molecule: ribosomal RNA, 449 nt
Filed under: uncultured bacterium
Lineage: Bacteria
Description: bacterial SSU rRNA
Rfam family: Bacterial small subunit ribosomal RNA
Source: RNAcentral